GCGGCAGGCCUAACACAUGCAAGUCGAACGGUAACAGGAAGCAGCUUGCUGCUUCGCUGACGAGUGGCGGACGGGUGAGUAAUGUCUGGGAAACUGCCUGAUGGAGGGGGAUAACUACUGGAAACGGUAGCUAAUACCGCAUAACGUCGCAAGACCAAAGAGGGGGACCUUCGGGCCUCUUGCCAUCGGAUGUGCCCAGAUGGGAUUAGCUAGUAGGUGGGGUAACGGCUCACCUAGGCGACGAUCCCUAGCUGGUCUGAGAGGAUGACCAGCCACACUGGAACUGAGACACGGUCCAGACUCCUACGGGAGGCAGCAGUGGGGAAUAUUGCACAAUGGGCGCAAGCCUGAUGCAGCCAUGCCGCGUGUAUGAAGAAGGCCCUCGGGUUGUAAAGUACUUUCAGCGGGGAGGAAGGCGAUAAGGUUAAUAACCUUGUCGAUUGACGUUACCCGCAGAAGAAGCACCGGCUAACUCCGUGCCAGCAGCCGCGGUAAUACGAAGGGUGCAAGCGUUAAUCGGAAUUACUGGGCGUAAAGCGCACGCAGGCGGUCUGUCAAGUCGGAUGUGAAAUCCCCGGGCUCAACCUGGGAACUGCAUUCGAAACUGGCAGGCUAGAGUCUUGUAGAGGGAGGUAGAAUUCCAGGUGUAGCGGUGAAAUGCGUAGAGAUCUGGAGGAAUACCGGUGGCGAAGGCGGCCCCCUGGACAAAGACUGACGCUCAGGUGCGAAAGCGUGGGGAGCAAACAGGAUUAGAUACCCUGGUAGUCCACGCCGUAAACGAUGUCGACUUGGAGGUUGUGCCCUUGAGGCGUGGCUUCCGGAGCUAACGCGUUAAGUCGACCGCCUGGGGAGUACGGCCGCAAGGUUAAAACUCAAAUGAAUUGACGGGGGCCCGCACAAGCGGUGGAGCAUGUGGUUUAAUUCGAUGCAACGCGAAGAACCUUACCUACUCUUGACAUCCAGAGAACUUUCCAGAGAUGGAUUGGUGCCUUCGGGAACUCUGAGACAGGUGCUGCAUGGCUGUCGUCAGCUCGUGUUGUGAAAUGUUGGGUUAAGUCCCGCAACGAGCGCAACCCUUAUCCUUUGUUGCCAGCGGUCCGGCCGGGAACUCAAAGGAGACUGCCAGUGAUAAACUGGAGGAAGGUGGGGAUGACGUCAAGUCAUCAUGGCCCUUACGAGUAGGGCUACACACGUGCUACAAUGGCGCAUACAAAGAGAAGCGACCUCGCGAGAGCAAGCGGACCUCAUAAAGUGCGUCGUAGUCCGGAUUGGAGUCUGCAACUCGACUCCAUGAAGUCGGAAUCGCUAGUAAUCGUGGAUCAGAAUGCCACGGUGAAUACGUUCCCGGGCCUUGUACACACCGCCCGUCACACCAUGGGAGUGGGUUGCAAAAGAAGUAGGUAGCUUAACCUUCGGGAGGGCGCUUACCACUUUGUGAUUCAUGACUGGGGUGAAG
RNAcentral lists this ribosomal RNA (1456 nucleotides) under uncultured organism. RNAcentral's name for it is "16S ribosomal RNA". It matches the Rfam family "Bacterial small subunit ribosomal RNA". The record is from RNAcentral.